RNAcentral lists this ribosomal RNA (372 nucleotides) under uncultured organism. Its description in RNAcentral is "partial 16S ribosomal RNA". It matches the Rfam family "Bacterial small subunit ribosomal RNA", at positions 527 to 896 of the family's 1533-position model. The record is from RNAcentral.
GUAGGUGGCAAGCGUUGUCCGGAAUUAUUGGGCGUAAAGCGCGCGCAGGCGGUCCUUUAAGUCUGAUGUGAAAGCCCACGGCUCAACCGUGGAGGGUCAUUGGAAACUGGGGGACUUGAGUUCAGAAGAGGAAAGCGGAAUUCCAAGUGUAGCGGUGAAAUGCGUAGAGAUUUGGAGGAACACCAGUGGCGAAGGCGGCUUUCUGGUCUGUAACUGACGCUGAGGCGCGAAAGCGUGGGGAGCAAACAGGGAUUAGAUACCCUGGUAGUCCACGCCGUAAACGAUGAGUGCUAAGUGUUAGGGGGUUUCCCGCCCCUUAGUGCUGCAGCUAACGCAUUAAGCACUCCGCCUGGGGAGUACGCCGCAAGGCUG